Molecule: long non-coding RNA, 266 nt
Filed under: Bos taurus (domestic cattle)
Lineage: Eukaryota; Metazoa; Chordata; Mammalia; Artiodactyla; Bovidae
Description: long non-coding RNA NONBTAT016338
Source: RNAcentral
CCCUCUGGGACGUGGUUGAAAAUCCCUGGUGUCUAGUUUUCAGGGUCUUCCAAGAACUCUAACGAGCAGCCCAGCUGACGACCGCAGGCCAUUCCUAUAUAUUGACACUAUGCUAACACAUGUUUAAACCAUCCAGUUAUUCUAUAAUCAGGGUAAUAUCCCUAGAGAUCCAAAAUUCGGUGGCACUGGGAAUUCCAUUUGUCUAAGCCACAGCCCUUCUUUAAUCAGCCAAACUGUGUUUGAUGGGUCGUCCCAUGCCAUUCCCC